GACGAACGCUGGCGGCGUGCUUAACACAUGCAAGUCGAACGGAAAGGCCCUGCUUUUGUGGGGUGCUCGAGUGGCGAACGGGUGAGUAACACGUGAGUAACCUGCCCUUGACUUUGGGAUAACUUCAGGAAACUGGGGCUAAUACCGGAUAGGAGCUCCUGCUGCAUGGUGGGGGUUGGAAAGUUUCGGCGAUUGGGGAUGGACUCGCGGCUUAUCAGCUUGUUGGUGGGGUAGUGGCUUACCAAGGCUUUGACGGGUAGCCGGCCUGAGAGGGUGACCGGCCACAUUGGGACUGCGAUACGGCCCAGACUCCUACGGGAGGCAGCAGUGGGGAAUAUUGCACAGUGGGCGGAAGCCUGAUGCAGCAACGCCGCGUGCGGGAUGACGGCCUUCGGGUUGUAAACCGCUUUCGCCUGUGACGAAGCGUGAGUGACGGUAAUGGGUAAAGAAGCACCGGCUAACUACGUG
RNAcentral lists this ribosomal RNA (468 nucleotides) under uncultured bacterium. RNAcentral describes it as "partial 16S ribosomal RNA". It matches the Rfam family "Bacterial small subunit ribosomal RNA", at positions 28 to 507 of the family's 1533-position model. The record is from RNAcentral.